AUUGAACGCUGGCGGCAGGCUUAACACAUGCAAGUCGAGCGGGGGAAGGUAGCUUGCUACCGGACCUAGCGGCGGACGGGUGAGUAAUGCUUAGGAAUCUGCCUAUUAGUGGGGGACAAGAUCUCGAAAGGGAUGCUAAUACAGCAUACGUCCUACGGGAGAAAGCAGGGGAUCUUCGGACCUUGCGCUAAUAGAGUAGCCGAAGUCGGAUUAGCUAGUUGGUGGGGUAAAGGCCUAACAAGGCGACGAUCUGUAGCGGGUCUGAGGGGAUGAUCCGCCACACUGGGACUGAGACACGGCCCAGACUCCUACGGGAGGCAGCAGUGGGGAAUAUUGGACAAUGGGGGGAACCCUGAUCCAGCCAUGCCGCGUGUGUGAAGAAGGCCUUAUGGUUGUAAAGCACUUUAAGCGAGGAGGAGGCUCUUUUGGUUAAUACCCAAGAUGAGUGGACGUUACUCGCAGAAUAAGCACCGGCUAACUCUGUGCCAGCCGCCGCAGUAA
RNAcentral lists this ribosomal RNA (501 nucleotides) under uncultured bacterium. RNAcentral describes it as "partial 16S ribosomal RNA". It matches the Rfam family "Bacterial small subunit ribosomal RNA", at positions 30 to 523 of the family's 1533-position model. The record is from RNAcentral.